GUAGCUUUCGGCGUUACAUAUACUGAAAUUGGAACGAUACACAGAAGAUUAGCGGGGCCCCUGCGCAAGAAUAAAAAAAAACUGAGUUAAAGGAUCGACGAUGAA
This is a small nuclear RNA of Schistocerca nitens (vagrant locust), 105 nucleotides long. Lineage: Eukaryota; Metazoa; Arthropoda; Insecta; Orthoptera; Acrididae. The record is from RefSeq and is a predicted model, not a curated record.